This 253-nucleotide ribosomal RNA is filed under the name uncultured bacterium. RNAcentral's name for it is "partial 16S ribosomal RNA". It matches the Rfam family "Bacterial small subunit ribosomal RNA", at positions 524 to 776 of the family's 1533-position model. The record is from RNAcentral.
UACAGAGGUCCCAAGCGUUGUUCGGAUUCACUGGGCGUAAAGGGUGCGUAGGCGGUCGGGUAAGUCUGGCGUGGAAUCUCCAAGCCUAACUUGGAAACUGCGUUGGAUACUAUCCGGCUCGAGGAAUGGAGGGGAGACUGGAAUACUUGGUGUAGCAGUGAAAUGCGUAGAUAUCAAGUGGAACACCAGUGGCGAAGGCGAGUCUCUGGACAUUUCCUGACGCUGAGGCACGAAAGCCAGGGGAGCAAACGGG